Molecule: non-coding RNA, 1051 nt
Organism: Struthio camelus australis
Lineage: Eukaryota; Metazoa; Chordata; Aves; Struthioniformes; Struthionidae
Source: RefSeq, a predicted model, not a curated record
CACAGGCGCGGGAGGUGCAGGCUGCCAGCCGCCGUCGCCCCCAACGAUCCAAACAGGCAUUUGGAAAAAAUCUCCCAGGAACUGUUGGCUCACGUCCUUGCGACGAACGCCAGCAGGUUUCCUGACUCAUCGGCAGCGCUCCUGCAGGAAGAGGAACGUACGUUUCCCCACCAAAGCGAUAACUUAAUUAGCAGGAUUUUGUGUUCUCACAGGAGAGAACUUUGUGGCCGAUAAAACAGUAACGGAGAGGAAAACUAGGCGGUAAAAACAGAAGAGCAACUGAGGACUCUGCAAAAAUUUGCAAUCUUGGGCUGAGACAAGCACGGGCAGUUUCUAUGUCCGUUGGCAGGAACUGCAGGCACUUCUCCGCGAUUCAGCUAUUCCUCUUUCCUUACUGCCGGCGGCUUCAUCAUUUCCUAAUCUCAGCUUUUAUCAUUGGCUUCAAAGAGAAGCAAAGGUGAGUCCUAACUGUUCACGCUUUGACGCUGUAAUUUUUGCAGGUGACGCAGUAUUUGUUGGACCAGUCGUUUGUGAUGGAUGAGGAAACGCUUUAUGAAGCUUCUCUGCGAAUAGAACCCAAACUGCCUUCCUGAGUCCGGCCCGGCGGCGGCGGCGGAUGCGAGUACCCCUGCUCCGGUAACGCCGUGCGGAGAGACUGGCGACGAGAACGGCAGGCGAUGCGCUCCAGCUGUGCCAGGAAGGGCUGCUGCCUGCGAACCGCGCAGCGCCUAGCUCUGCUGCUGCCCAGGCCUCAGUGUAAGCAGGGAAGGUGAAAAUGUAUCUUUGACUGUUUUAGCUGCAUAAUACUCAUGACAAGCUUCUGUUGAUAUGCUAUAAAUCUGUAUACCUUGUGACAACUAUUAGUAACAUGAUGUAGAAUUAGAAAAAAAUGACCAAGUGUUUUUAUUACAUAUACUGUAAUCCUGUCUAACCACCUUCUAGCAGGAAUAUAGUAAUGUAGUGCUUAUUCUGUGAAUAUUACCAUGUAUUUUUUACAUUGUACAGUAUAUAAACACAGUUUAACUUUAAAGUGGCAGGCAUGCUCCACUAU